This 402-nucleotide ribosomal RNA is filed under the name bacterium. Its description in RNAcentral is "partial 16S ribosomal RNA". It matches the Rfam family "Bacterial small subunit ribosomal RNA", at positions 355 to 776 of the family's 1533-position model. The record is from RNAcentral.
UGGGGAAUUUUGCACAAUGGGGGAAACCCUGAUGCAGCGACGCCGCGUGAUUUAGAAGGCCUUCGGGUUGUAAAAAUCUUUUCUAUGGGAAGAAAAUGACAGUACCAUAGGAAUAAGGACCGGCUAAUUACGUGCCAGCAGCCGCGGUAAUACGUAAGGUCCGAGCGUUGUCCGGAAUCAUUGGGCGUAAAGGGUACGUAGGCGGGUAAGCAAGUUAGAAGUGAAAUCCUAUAGCUCAACUAUAGUAAGCUUUUAAAACGGCUCAUCUUGAGGUAUGGAAGGGAAAGUGGAAUUCCUAGUGUAGCGGUGAAAUGCGCAGAUAUUAGGAGGAGUACCGGUGGCGAAGGCGACUUUCUGGCCAUAACCUGACGCUGAGGUACGAAAGCGUGGGUAGCAAACAGG